GCUCCUCCACAAUUACUGCAGAGUCAGAAGUGGAAUUUCCGCCUGAUGUUUUAUGUCAGAAUCAGUAUGAAAGACUGCAGCAUGCUGAGUGAGCUUUCCGUUCUCGCUGAGAUGCGAUGCAGGGUCCACCCUCUGCAGGCCACAGUUUUGCCUGGAGGCAAAGCAUUCAGUCUUUCCAUUGGCCUGACAAUUUGAGCCAAGCUUGAGGCCAACAGACAAAAUGACUAGAGAGGGGCUGCCUGGUGGCCCUCCCUGUGAGAAGGUAUUCUUCCUGCUCCGUUGACAUCAGGCUUAUUAGCCAUGUUUCUGGAUUUGGUCCAUUUUAUUGUAAAGAGAACAUGGAGCAGGGCUGCAGCUGAUCUUCAAAGGGCGUGAACACAAGCCAGAGAGAAGCCGUUAUUGUUGUAAGCCCUGAAGAUUUGGGGGAUAUUAUUGCAACACAACUCAGCCCAAACAGACUAAUACAACAAGUUUCUAUGUAUACAUGGAAAUGUAUGUAAUCUUAGCCUC
RNAcentral lists this long non-coding RNA (510 nucleotides) under Pongo abelii (Sumatran orangutan). RNAcentral's name for it is "lincRNA". The record is from RNAcentral. Lineage: Eukaryota; Metazoa; Chordata; Mammalia; Primates; Hominidae.